Molecule: small RNA, 163 nt
Filed under: human gut metagenome
Description: Clostridiales-1 RNA
Rfam family: Clostridiales-1 RNA
Source: RNAcentral
AUGCCAGGGUCAAAAGUCAAGCUUCCACGUUGUGUUUACACAUAAGUGGAAGCUUGACUUUAUGACCCGCCCCAUAAUGAGGAUAAAAGUGAGGCGUCAGCCUCACGAUAUCCGAAUUAGGGGGCAGGAUUGCGGAAGCACGAAGUGCGGAGCAAUCCGUAUG